Molecule: transfer-messenger RNA, 388 nt
Filed under: Clostridia bacterium
Lineage: Bacteria; Bacillati; Bacillota; Clostridia
Rfam family: transfer-messenger RNA
About the family: Bacterial tmRNA, also known as 10Sa RNA or SsrA, is named for its dual tRNA and mRNA-like properties.
Source: RNAcentral
GGGCGAGUUUCAGAUUCGAUUGCGGGCGGAGAAUGAGAAAAGCAUACCAAAGGCUCGGCUUUGUAAAAACGGAACCUAAAUUUAAACGCAGAAUCAAACGAUUCCAAAGUUGUCGCUUUCCGCGCUCCCAGAGCUACGGCAAGCCUCGCUUGCGCAGCUUAACUUAAGCUGUCCGUCGCAGUAAAUUCACCGUUGGUUUAUUGCGGCGUUAAUUAAACGGUAAACUCUUUAACCCGUCUUACCGCGCGGGUUAAACCGUAUUUUGCGGUAUGCCUUUGCAAAAGCCCGUUCGUCGGCGUUUGCAAAGAAAGACAAAAGGCGGAAUAAGUAUGUAGAAAGCUUAAACUAAACCCGUAAGACUCGGGUGCAAGUCCCGACUCGUCCACCA